RNAcentral lists this ribosomal RNA (254 nucleotides) under uncultured bacterium. RNAcentral describes it as "partial 16S ribosomal RNA". It matches the Rfam family "Bacterial small subunit ribosomal RNA", at positions 524 to 776 of the family's 1533-position model. The record is from RNAcentral.
UACGAAGGGGGCUAGCGUUGUUCGGAAUUACUGGGCGUAAAGCGUGCGCAGGCGGUCUGUUAAGACCGAUGUGAAAUCCCCGGGCUUAACCUGGGAACUGCAUUGGUGACUGGCAGGCUUUGAGUGUGGCAGAGGGAGGUAGAAUUCCACGUGUAGCAGUGAAAUGCGUAGAGAUGUGGAGGAAUACCGAUGGCGAAGGCAGCCUCCUGGGCCAACACUGACGCUCAUGCACGAAAGCGUGGGGAGCAAACAGG